This 356-nucleotide ribosomal RNA is filed under the name uncultured eukaryote. RNAcentral describes it as "partial Bacterial small subunit ribosomal RNA". It matches the Rfam family "Bacterial small subunit ribosomal RNA", at positions 11 to 366 of the family's 1533-position model. The record is from RNAcentral.
GUUUGAUCAUGGCUCAGAUUGAACGCUGGCGGCAGGCUUAACACAUGCAAGUCGAGGGGUAACAUUGUGCUUGCACAGAUGACGACCGGCGCACGGGUGCGUAACGCGUAUAGAAUCUACCUUUUACAGGGGGAUAGCCUUUAGAAAUGAAGAUUAAUAUCCCAUAGUAUUGAGACUUGGCAUCAAGACUUAAUUAAAGAUUUAUCGGUAAAAGAUGACUAUGCGUCCUAUUAGCUAGAUGGUAAGGUAAUGGCUUACCAUGGCUACGAUAGGUAGGGGUCCUGAGAGGGAGAUCCCCCACACUGGUACUGAGACACGGACCAGACUCCUACGGGAGGCAGCAGUGAGGAAUAUUG